This 235-nucleotide ribosomal RNA is filed under the name uncultured Glomus. Its description in RNAcentral is "partial 18S ribosomal RNA". The stretch from base 40 to 235 matches the Rfam family "Eukaryotic small subunit ribosomal RNA", at positions 686 to 884 of the family's 1831-position model. Lineage: Eukaryota; Fungi; Glomeromycota; Glomeromycetes; Glomerales; Glomeraceae. The record is from RNAcentral.
GGGUCAGUAGGUCGGUCGUGCCAACGGUAUGAACUGGCCUCACUGAUUCCUCCCUCUUGUAGAACCGUGAUGCCAUUAACUUGGUGUUGCGGGGAAACAGGACUGUUACUUUGAAAAAAUUAGAGUGUUUAAAGCAGGCUAACGCUUGAAUACAUUAGCAUGGAAUAAUGAAAUAGGACGUCGAUCUUAUUUUGUUGGUUUCUAGGGUUGACGUAAUGAUUAAUAGGGAUAGUUG